GCGAGAGGGCCGAGGAACGAGGGACGGGGAGGGACUGUACGUGGGAGAGUGACACACAAAACACCCCGGGAAGCCGGAGGAGGCGUGGAAAGGUGGGGCCCGGGAGGUAAAACUGGGAUCGGCGCGUUCAGUGAGGCUGAUUAAAGAACAACGCGCAACCAGCGCCAUACGGCGCUCCUCAGGGUGACUCGGCUCUCUAGCUCUUAAGGGUUAGAAGCGACCCUCGCACGGUCCCCGGUGGGUCACCGCGCGAGGGCGGGGCAGUCCAGGCGACCCCUCGGCCGUCUCCCGUCCUACGGCUGUCAGGGAAGGGCUCCGGUUCCGGUAGGGUCUGCAUUUGGAAAGCCGGGGGCGAUGCAAGACCGCCUUGGCGUCGUCUCCCUCUCAGCCCCGGCUGAGCUGUCGGAUGGUCCCCCUCCCCCGGUUGCAAGCAGUAGGAGACCCGGCCGGCGGCGCCGGCUCGCCGAGGGAGCGCCUCGACCUCCCCGGCAGGCGCCGGCCCCGCGCGCCUCUUCCUGCUCUGCUGCGGCCCGGAGGCUUGUGGGUAACCGGGAGGACGACGUCAGCGCCCGCCGCAUCCCCGGGUGCCCCCCAGCCGCGGGGGACCGCGACGGCUCCGUGACCGUCACGUGCCGGAGGCCGCGGCUGCUCGCGGCCAGACCUUCGCAUCGAGGGACGUGAGGGACAUUUGUCCUAGAGGGCCCAAGAUAAGAACGAGAGGAAGAACCGGGAGGCAACUCUCCGUCAUCCUCUAGCCCCCCGCAUCCUAGGAAACGUAUGGAAAACAAUGGAAGGUUAAGUGUGUGCACAGUGAUCUGGCCCUGCAGGAGUGUGCCGACCAGGUGAUAUUUCCUGGGGCCUGGUGAUAAGGAUUUGGAAGGUUACAGCACAGAGACGUGAACGUAAAAAGGAAACAGAGGCAGCAAGCAAAUGAGGAAACCGAUACUCUGUUCUGAGAAUAAAGCCAUUUUACCGCUAGACGUCAUACUCUGUAGACGUUAUAGUGCUGGAUGUCUUUGGUACUAUUACAAGAAAUUAGAUAUCUCUAUCUUUAAAUAUCACUUAAGGAAAUUAAAUGAUUUCUACAGAUCAGUUAUUUAAAAGGGCACUAAUUAUGAACUAUUUUUUUUAAACGUAACCCGGUUAAUACUAGAUACUGAGAAUUAUCAGUAUUGGCUGGGCGCAGUGGCUCACGCCUGUAAUCCCAGCACUUUGGGAGGCCGAGGCAGGCGGAUCACGAGGUCCGGAAAUCGAGACCAUCCUGGCUAAGACGGUGAAACCCCGUCUCUACUAAAAAUACAAAAAAUUAGCCGGGCGUGGUGGGG
This 1325-nucleotide long non-coding RNA is filed under the name Homo sapiens (human). RNAcentral describes it as "HSALNT0135630". The record is from RNAcentral. Lineage: Eukaryota; Metazoa; Chordata; Mammalia; Primates; Hominidae.